This 182-nucleotide transfer RNA is filed under the name Microcaldota archaeon. RNAcentral's name for it is "tRNA-Lys". Lineage: Archaea; Nanobdellati; Microcaldota. The record is from RNAcentral.
GCUCCGAUCGUCUAGUCCGGUCAAGGAUUCCGGCCUUUUUAGCCGAUGACCCGGGUAGCCUUUCUUUUCUUGUAAGAAAAGAAACCCUAGGGAAAGAAAAGAACAAGCCUUUCUUAAAAAGAAAGCCUUGGAAAAGAAAUUCAAAUUAGGGGCGCUCGGGAAUUCAAAUCCCGGUCGGAGCA